Molecule: ribosomal RNA, 207 nt
Filed under: uncultured bacterium
Lineage: Bacteria
Description: partial 16S ribosomal RNA
Rfam family: Bacterial small subunit ribosomal RNA
Source: RNAcentral
AGCGUAGACGGUGUGGCAAGUCUGAUGUGAAAGGCAUGGGCUCAACCUGUGGACUGCAUUGGAAACUGUCAUACUUGAGUGCCGGAGGGGUAAGCGGAAUUCCUAGUGUAGCGGUGAAAUGCGUAGAUAUUAGGAGGAACACCAGUGGCGAAGGCGGCUUACUGGACGGUAACUGACGUUGAGGCUCGAAAGCGUGGGGAGCAAACA